This 570-nucleotide ribosomal RNA is filed under the name Triticum aestivum (bread wheat). RNAcentral's name for it is "partial small subunit ribosomal RNA". Lineage: Eukaryota; Viridiplantae; Streptophyta; Magnoliopsida; Poales; Poaceae. The record is from RNAcentral.
AUGAUUCAUUUGCUAACAUUAUUAGUUCGUGAACUUGGAGGGUUAUGUGAUUCGUUAGAAAAAGGAAUGAUAGUUACUUUUUCUCUCUCUAUAACAGGAUUGUUAGAUUCUCGUUGGGCUUCUACGGGGCAUUUUCCAUUAACUAAUUUAUAUGAGUCAUUGAUCUUUCUUCCAUGGGCUCUGUAUAUUCUCCACACCAUUUCUAAAAUACAGAACUCUAAAAAUGAUUUAAGCACAAUAACUACGCCAAGUACUAUUUUAAUGCGAGGGUUUGCCACGUUGGGUCUUUUAACUGAAAUGCAUCAAUCCAUGAUACUAGUACCUGCCCUGCAAUCUCAGUGAUUAAUGAUGCAUGUUAGUAUGAUGUUAUUAAGCUAUGCAACUCUUUUGUGUGGAUCCUUAUUAUCUGCCGCUAUUAUAAUCAUUAGAUUUUGAAAUAAAUUCCAUUUCUUUUCUAAAAUGAAAAUAAUGUUUUAGAUAAAACAUUUUUCUUUGGUGAGAUUACUAUUUCUAUGCAAAAAUAAGUGCUUUAAAAAGCACCUCGGUCCCUUCAUUCCUAACUUACUAUAA